Molecule: ribosomal RNA, 497 nt
Filed under: uncultured bacterium
Lineage: Bacteria
Description: partial 16S ribosomal RNA
Rfam family: Bacterial small subunit ribosomal RNA
Source: RNAcentral
GAUGAACGCUGGCGGCGUGCCUAAUACAUGCAAGUCGAGCGACCGGACGAGAAGAUCGUUUUCCUGCUGUUAGCGGCGGACGGGCGGGUAACAAGUGGAUCAGCAUCCUCUUUGUCUGGGGUAAUUACGGGAAACCGGAGAUGCUACCGCCUAAUAUUUCCAACCGCAUGGUUCAAAAGUGCUUCACAGCUUUGGUGUUUCUUAUAGCUGGUUCCGCGUUGCAUUAGCUAGUUGGUAAGGUAACGGCUUACCAAGGCAACGAUGCUUAGCCGACCUGAGAGGGUGAUCAGCCACACUGGAACUGAGACACGGUCCAGACUCCUACGGGAGGCAGCAGUAGGGAAUCUUCCACAAUGGGCGAAAGCCUGACGGAGCAACGCCGCGUGAGUGAUGAAGGUCUUCGGAUCGUAAAACUCUGUUAUUAGGGAAGAACAGAUGUGUAAGUAUCUGUGCACAUCUUGACGGUACCUAAACAGAAAGCCACGGCUAACUACGUG